UACGUAGGGGUGCAAGCGUUGUUCCGGAAUUAUUGGGCGUAAAGAGCUCGUAGGCGGUUCGUCGCGAUCGGCUGUGAAAUCCCGAGGCUCAACCUCGGGUCUGCAGUCGAUACGGGCGGACUGGAGUUCGGCAGGGGAGACUGGAAUUCCUGGAUGUAGCGGUGAAAUGCGCAGAUAUCAGGAGGAACACCGGUGGCGAAGGCGGGUCUCUGGGCCGAUACUGACGCUGAGGAGCGAAAGCGUGGGGAGCGAACAGG
This 257-nucleotide ribosomal RNA is filed under the name uncultured bacterium. Its description in RNAcentral is "partial 16S ribosomal RNA". It matches the Rfam family "Bacterial small subunit ribosomal RNA", at positions 524 to 776 of the family's 1533-position model. The record is from RNAcentral.